UGAGGAAUAUUGGGCAAUGCCCGAAAGGGUGACCCAGCAACGCCGCGUGGAGGAUGAAGGUCGUAAGAUUGUAAACUCCUGUUAGAGGGGAAGAAUAACUAAGUUUGGAGCUUAGUAUGACUGUACCCUCAGAGAAAGCCCCGGCUAACUACAUGCCAGCAGCCGCGGUAAUACGUAGGUGGCAAGCGUUGUCCGGAUUUACUGGGCGUAAAGGAUGCGUAGGCGGAUACUUAAGUCAGAUGUGAAAAUCCCGGGCUUAACUUGGGAACUGCAUUUGAAACUGGGUAUCUAGAGUGCGGGAGAGGAAAGUGGAAUUCCUAGUGUAGCGGUGAAAUGCGUAGAGAUUAGGAAGAACACCAGUGGCGAAGGCGACUUUCUGGACCGUAACUGACGCUGAGGCAUGAAAGCGUGGGGAGCAAACA
Molecule: ribosomal RNA, 422 nt
Filed under: uncultured bacterium
Lineage: Bacteria
Description: bacterial SSU rRNA
Rfam family: Bacterial small subunit ribosomal RNA
Source: RNAcentral